UUAAAUUGAAGAGUUUGAUCAUGGCUCAGAUUGAACGCUGGCGGCAGGCCUAACACAUGCAAGUCGAACGGUAACAGGAAGCAGCUUGCUGCUUCGCUGACGAGUGGCGGACGGGUGAGUAAUGUCUGGGAAACUGCCUGAUGGAGGGGGAUAACUACUGGAAACGGUAGCUAAUACCGCAUAACGUCGCAAGACCAAAG
RNAcentral lists this ribosomal RNA (200 nucleotides) under Escherichia coli. RNAcentral's name for it is "partial 16S ribosomal RNA". It matches the Rfam family "Bacterial small subunit ribosomal RNA", at positions 1 to 206 of the family's 1533-position model. The record is from RNAcentral. Lineage: Bacteria; Pseudomonadati; Pseudomonadota; Gammaproteobacteria; Enterobacterales; Enterobacteriaceae.